GGCGGCAGUUCCCAGGCAAUGGGACUACUCCUAUGCAGUGGCAUCGAUGGCUGCAUCUGCACGGUGAUUGUUUCUUCUUCACCCAGCAACACCACUCCAACUGCUUUAAUGGCAGGCAUAUGCUCUUUCUUUUCUCUAUCUCUCAUCUCAGUAACAUGCAAAUGCCAAACCAGAAAUCGUUGAGCGUAAUUCAGAAUUUUACCCAGUAAUCUCAGUAACGUGCAAAUGCCAUACCAGAAUUUUCUGUAUGCUCUUCUCCGUUAUUUUGCUUAAACAAAUUUGUAAAUCAUUGUUUUGUUCCUAGCUAAUGCAGGGAAUCCCUUCAAAUUACUGAAGAUAAAUGGCAUCUAUUUGUUCAAUUAAGUUCGAGCAACAGUGGUCUUUAUGUGUUGUUAAAAUACCUAUAUGUAAUACGGUGUACAGCCAUAUAUAUAUAUAUUGAUUAGCAAAUGCAUUGACUGAACUGGUACUGUUGACAAACUGAUCUGUUUAAGUAACAAUGAAUUUGGAUGCACCUCUGCAUCUCUAUGUUUCGGUAACAUCAACAAUAUUAACAAGACUCCUUUCAGUAUCGUGAAAGUCGCACAUCACCUGGAGAUGUGAAUGGUGUUUUGGUCAUCUGUUGUCGAUCUGCCACUACUUCGUGCUUGCUGAAUUGAACUGAGUUUUGCCUAGCUCCAAUCCCUAUAGCUGCUUGCUCUGAAGUUUGAACUUUUGCAUGCAUAAACAAUUUUUUAUCAGGAUGGAUUUCUCCUAUAGGGAACUAUUUGUUUAGAAAGAAAUUUGUACGGUCUAUUUAGGUGAAAUUGAACCCUCAACUUUCAGUUUAUACAAAUUUGGAAUGUACAGAGGAUAGCAUCUUUCCAUGAGGCGUCUUUGCAAAUUACAUAUAUUGUUUUGAAUUUUUGUUUACCUUUUUAUGGAAGGAACCAGAAUCCUAAAUAAAUGUAGGACUCCAUAAGUCCCACGAGUGAAUGCUUUUUUCUUCUUUUUUAUAGGUUAGUUAUAUGAUACUAUGCUACUUGUGAAGGUCAUAACCUGCAACCAUUUGUCAGUAAUUGCAUUAUUACUUGAUUUCACCAGUUAUAUGAUACUACUAUGCUACUUGAAUGCUGGAAGCUUUUGGCUGAAAUUAAACCUUUCUCAGUUUUGACUACAAUUUCUACAAGUUGUGCUGACAUCCAGGCUGUAUUAGUAGAUCUAUUUUUACAAGGGACAUAAUUGGCAUCACGUUGUUUUUAUUGAGUAUGUUCAUUUUUUUUGUUUUCCAACUCUUGUAACUAGUUUAUUGCCUUUUAUUCUAUGAAUGCCUGCAUUGCCACAACUAUGAGUAUUGCCUAAGCUGUGUCCAAAUUGCCAUUCCUAAUAUAUAAGGAUUAUGGCUCCACAUAUUUCCUAUUUACUGUUAAACAGAAUCAUAGAUUUUAACUAAUUUGUGUACAGCUGGAACUUAUAGACAUGAAAGGCGAGAACUUUUUUAUCCAGGUUUGUAGGUUCUGUGGAAAUAUUGUUCGAAGCAAUCAUUCUGAAUGUGUUUGUGAACACGCCGUCUUUCUGAUAGUUUGAUAUUGUAUUGCAGGUCUUGCUAGUGUGGAGGAAACCUGAACCUGGACCUUCAAUUUUUUCUGGUGCUGCAAGUGUUUUCAGGUGUUUGUUAAACCAAAACUGCAAGUGUUUUUAGUUGGUAGCUUGGUUCUGCUACACCAUUUUUUGUUGCUUGAUGUGGAACUAUUGUUUGAUUCUUUAAGCAGAGUAUCUAAGACUGUAUACGUUAUUUGGUUUAAUCUGAGAUGAAC
This 1796-nucleotide long non-coding RNA is filed under the name Oryza brachyantha (malo sina). Its description in RNAcentral is "long non-coding RNA (OBRA_LNC000789)". The record is from RNAcentral. Lineage: Eukaryota; Viridiplantae; Streptophyta; Magnoliopsida; Poales; Poaceae.